Molecule: ribosomal RNA, 621 nt
Filed under: Triticum aestivum (bread wheat)
Lineage: Eukaryota; Viridiplantae; Streptophyta; Magnoliopsida; Poales; Poaceae
Description: partial small subunit ribosomal RNA
Source: RNAcentral
AUGUUUAUUGCCACCAAAUCUGAUAUUGAUGAGCUAGAUUUCAGCAAAUCUGUUUGCUAUGCUUUUGUGUGCAAAGAGGCAUUAUUUUCAUUCGAGGACGUGCCUUCCUCUUUGCCCCCUGCUGUCACUAACAUUUUGCAGGAGUUCGCUGACGUCUUUCCACAAGACGUGCCACCGGGAUUACCACCUAUUCGAGGGAUUGAGCAUCAAAUUGACUUAAUUCCCGGUGCAUCGCUACCCAACCGUGCACCAUACCGUACCAAUCCAGAGGAGACGAAGGAGAUUAUGCGUCAAGCCCAUGUACAGGAGCUGCUCGACAAAGGUUAUAUACGCGAAUUUCUUAGUCCUUGUGUUGUUCCUAUUAUACUAGUGCCUAAAAAGGAUGGUACGUCGCGUAUGUGUGUUGAUUGUAGAGGCAUUAAUAAUAUUACUAUUCGUUAUCGUCAUCCUAUUCCUAGGCUAGAUGAUAUGCUUGAUGAAUUGAGUGGCUCUACAAUAUUCUCCAAAGUUGAUUUGCAUAGUGGAUACCAUCAAAUUCGUAUGAAAUUGGGAGAUGAAUGGAAAACAGCAUUUAAAACUAAGUUUGGUUUAUAUGAGUGGUUAGUCAUGCUUUUGGGUUAA